GUGGAAUGAUGUAAAAAAAAAAUUUUAUUAGGUUUUAGGGACCAAUUUGCUAAUCACAAUUGCAAAUAUUUUUUUUUUUUAGAUAAAGAAUUGCAAAGUAAAGCUGUCAAAAACUACCCCGAUGGCUCUUGCGCCACCACUUUCAAAAGUCGUGCAAUCAUUUUCCGAAUAUAACAAAAAAUUGAAUCCCGAGUGAUCUUGUUCACCCCCCAAGGUCCAUUCCAAUCUCCAUCACAAUCAAUCACGCUGUUUAAGACCUCCUAACCGCACUUUGCCUGUAAUUAAUCAAAUAAAUUGUUCU
RNAcentral lists this unclassified non-coding RNA (301 nucleotides) under Hevea brasiliensis (rubber tree). The record is from RNAcentral. Lineage: Eukaryota; Viridiplantae; Streptophyta; Magnoliopsida; Malpighiales; Euphorbiaceae.